This 25-nucleotide non-coding RNA is filed under the name Rattus norvegicus (Norway rat). The record is from RNAcentral. Lineage: Eukaryota; Metazoa; Chordata; Mammalia; Rodentia; Muridae.
UGCUUAUACGGGUGGAGAUCAUGCA